CCUUGUGGAGGAGGACGCCGAAGGUGGGGCUAAUGACUGGGGUGAAGUCGUAACAAGGUAGCCGUACCGGAAGGUGCGGCUGGAUCACCUCCUAACAGGGAGACAACAAAAUGUAAAUAUUAAUUUUGUCACCUUAGGUCGAUCGGUAUCUCAGAUUCUUAAAUAUUUAAGAAUUUUAGUUUCUAAGUUUUUUCUAGGUCACACCCAUCACUUUUUCCUGGGCCAUUAGCUCAGGUGGUUAGAGCGCACCCCUGAUAAGGGUGAGGUCCCUGGUUCAAGUCCAGGAUGGCCCAUAUCUCUAUGUUGGGGGUAUAGCUCAGUUGGUAGAGCGCCUGCUUUGCAAGCAGGAUGUCAGCGGUUCGAGUCCGCUUACCUCCACUGAAUACCACCUCUUACAUAUUGUUAAAGAGGGAAAUUGUUUUUGAGUCGUGUCCUAUCUACUCUGAGCGAAUCUAGCUUCCUAUUUUUAUCUCAUAAAUAAGAUGCUGGACUCAUUGGAUUUUUUAUCCAUUGUUUUCAGAGAACCUUGACAACUGCAUAGAUUAUUUUGAAGACAAUAAGCAUCUUUAAUGAUGCAGAUUUAUUAUUUGUGCUAAGGCAUUAAAUAACAAUUCUAUUAAGCUGAUGCUUCAAUUAUUGAAGUCAUUGGUCAAGCUACAAAGGGCUCACGGAGGAUAC
RNAcentral lists this unclassified non-coding RNA (678 nucleotides) under uncultured Prochlorococcus sp. Its description in RNAcentral is "partial may contain 16S ribosomal RNA, 16S-23S ribosomal RNA intergenic spacer, and 23S ribosomal RNA". The stretch from base 1 to 95 matches the Rfam family "Bacterial small subunit ribosomal RNA", at positions 1439 to 1533 of the family's 1533-position model. Lineage: Bacteria; Bacillati; Cyanobacteriota; Cyanophyceae; Synechococcales; Prochlorococcaceae. The record is from RNAcentral.